This 53-nucleotide non-coding RNA is filed under the name unclassified sequences. RNAcentral's name for it is "eL15-Euryarchaeota ribosomal protein leader". It matches the Rfam family "eL15-Euryarchaeota ribosomal protein leader". The record is from RNAcentral.
CGGGAUCCGUCCCGUUGGAAUGUGGCCGCGAUAAAAGGCGGCUGAACCGUGAA